RNAcentral lists this long non-coding RNA (312 nucleotides) under Struthio camelus australis. RNAcentral describes it as "lncRNA (ENSSCUG00000014503.1)". Lineage: Eukaryota; Metazoa; Chordata; Aves; Struthioniformes; Struthionidae. The record is from RNAcentral.
AUGAAAUAUAAGCUCCUGAUGCAGCACGUUCAUUUCAGUAUAUUUGUCUGUCGUGAAAUAGAGCCUCUUGAGACAUCAAGCGUUUGGCAACCCUUCAACUGUCUAGAUAACUUAAGACGCUUCCUGUUUAUGGCAGGGAGGAAGACAAAGGCAGCAGCUGUGUGGAGCAGCACGCCUGGUGCCUGGGCGAAGGGUGACGUUUCGGGUGCCAUGUUUGCUGUGGCGUGCGGCCGGCGGCUUCGGCGAGCUGCGCGGCUGCGAGCGCCGGGACCUGCACACCGCGCGCAGGGUGUGCAUAUUGGCAUGUAUUAA